UGAAUUUGCACCAUCCUUAGCAAGCGACACGUGAUCAAGAAACUGAUAUUAGGUAUUAAUGCUGCUUAUCCUCGAGAAUCGGGUAUUCUGUUUUUAUUUCUGCUUAUGUUAUAAGCCAAAUUUUAAAUUUAACCUUGAAUUUAAAGUUGAUUUUGAGAUUUUUUAUUAUAUUUUAUUUUUCAGUAUUUUUUAUCGCUAACAACACAUAUAUAAAAAUUUUAUUCAUAAAUUAUUUUCGUUUACACAUAUGUCAUUUCGUUUUUUCUUUGAAAAAGCCAAGUGAUGGCCACGAUACUCUUGUGUUAAAUUAAUUUCUUCCAAUGAUAAAUUGCCAUCUCAUUUGCAGAAUUAGUUUUGAGUUUAAAUUUUGGAGCAAAUCUAUCAAGAUUUUGGUAUGCGAAGUGCUGGAGCAAAAUAACCAUAUGCAUAGCUACAAAUACAAGAAAAGAAAGAUUAUGUCAAAAGAUUUAUGAACUGAAGAUUAUGUUACCCACGUUAAUAUACUCCCUAGAGGUUUACACCGAGUAGCUUUUAGGGUUGGCUGCACCGAGAACGCGAGAUGGAGAUGGACAAAUCAAAAUCAAAAUUGCCAUCUUUGGGAAGUUGAUGAUCCCUUUGUACUCUGUGAGAGGAUGAGCCCACUGGUUUAGCUCGGAAUGUUCUUUUUGCAGAAUAUUUUAGUCUCGCAGUAGUGAUCUCCUCAGGGUAGAAUACGGUGUUAAUAGGUGUACUACUUUCCUUAACCACAGUAACGAUAAGACUGUAAAGGGUUUAGUUGGUGGAUUGAUUUACCUGCAGAAUUAAAUGCACUUGCAAAUGGCCUUGAAUAAUUCCAUAUACUGCU
This 844-nucleotide long non-coding RNA is filed under the name Oryza brachyantha (malo sina). Its description in RNAcentral is "long non-coding RNA (OBRA_LNC000399)". The record is from RNAcentral. Lineage: Eukaryota; Viridiplantae; Streptophyta; Magnoliopsida; Poales; Poaceae.